CAACAAAUCCCCUCACCCCCGCCGCCAGUCCUCUUCUUCCUCGGGAUCCACCGCGAGCCAACCACCUCUCCACCUCGCUUUCCCCACCGGACCAAUCCAUCCCAGCCAUCCCAAUCCCCAUGAAGAUCCUUCUCGCCACCACCCGCAGCCUCUCCUCCUUGCUACGCGGGCUGCACGAGCACAGCAGCCGCUCGGGCACCAGACCCCGCUCCCGCCCGGAUCGAGGCCACCGCCGCUCCUCCCGUGCGCCUCCCGUCACCGCGAGCCACUGGCGAGCAGUAGCGCCAGGAACCAUGGAUCCCGAAGCCAUGGCCGCGCCUCCCGUCGACCUCCGCCAUGGUUGGCCGCAGCUCCCUCGCCGCCGUUUGCACCAGGCCAGCCGGGUGACGGACGAACCCGUCCUCCCACGUCCAUCCCCGCGUCCCGCUCGUCCCUGAGCUCCCCUACUUCGCCAAGUCCGUGGCCGCCGCAUUGCCUCGUCGCUGGAGCCCUGCAGGAGCACCAGCCAGCGCCACCAUCAUCGGAGAUGGGCUUCCGCCGGCCGGAUCUGACGCCCUAGAGAUUCGCGCCGCCGGCGGACCUCCUUCCUCCGCCCCAAGUCCCUCGACCCACCGUUCGGAGCCCACCUCCUUAAUGUCCCCGGCGCCAUCGUGCAUCUGCUUCCUCUGCUUCAAGGACGACCGCAGCGCCAAGUCCCGCUCGAUCCAGCCGCUCCGUUGACCGUGCCUCUGCCUCCAGAUCACCCGGCCCAGCGCGCCUCCCCAGCCCAUUGCGCAGCCGGCCCAGCAACCGACCCAAGCCGCCCUGUCGGCCUCCCUCCUCCACCGAAUGGGCCGAGGCCCAUGGCGAGGCCAGCUUUGCGCCCUCCUUUUUUUCCACUGUUGGGCCAGCCUCUGAUUCGGCCCAUAUAUGUUUUUUACAGAUCUGCGAUUUUCCUAAUUAUCCAGGGAAUUGUAGUUUUACAGUUUAGCUCCUAAACUUCAUGCAUAUCCUAACUAAUUAACCGUGCAUCGGAAUAAAACAAACUUUAUAUGAAAAAUGCUUAGAAUUUUG
Long non-coding RNA from Triticum urartu, 1053 nucleotides. RefSeq lists it as uncharacterized. The record is from RefSeq and is a predicted model, not a curated record. Lineage: Eukaryota; Viridiplantae; Streptophyta; Magnoliopsida; Poales; Poaceae.